Long non-coding RNA from Melozone crissalis (California towhee), 1912 nucleotides. RefSeq lists it as uncharacterized. The transcript has 4 exons. The record is from RefSeq and is a predicted model, not a curated record. NCBI's taxonomy places the organism in Eukaryota, Metazoa, Chordata, Aves, Passeriformes, Passerellidae.
AGGAAAAUAGCUAGUCAGUGUGCUGUGAUUUCUCCUCUAAAUACCUGGAUAUUUUUAAUAAUUAUUUUACAAGCCUAAGGUGAAGUGCUCAGUGAUACCCCAGAACAUGAGCAGAACUUGAACGUGAAGAUACUGAUUAUGCUGAAUCUGUUUGAAAAAUAUAUUCCAGAAGCAAAGAAAUACCAUUGAACAAGCCAUUGGUGUAAAAACAGUACUGUCCUCUGAAGUCUGCUCUGAAGUUGACAGUUCAUUGAGUGAUUUGUUCAAGAAUAUACAAAAUGCUUUGGAUCUCUAAGAGUAGCAUCCAAUCUGUCCUAUAAUAGGUCUUUCAACAGGUUUUUGAUUCACAAGAUGACAGUGCAGUAAUUGGAAAGCUCAAAGGAGCACUGGAAGCCCUGCAUGCCUGCCCUCAGCCGAGAGGGGAAUGCAAAGAUGACUACAAGGCAUGAAAGGAAGUUUGCCUACACAAGAGCCUUCUCCCAGUGUAAAUACAUGCUUGAUAGUGCAUCAAAGAUGAGAUCUUUGUAAUUCCUACAGUAUAUUUAAUGUAUAAUUUAUAUGAAAAGGACGCUUGAUUUGUAGUUGUAAAGUUUUGUAUACUUUUCAGUCUGUUUGUUUUUAUAUUUCCCCCCUAAGGCUAAGAAUAUCUCCACAAUGGACAACGCCUUGUAAAUAAUUAAUACCUACAUGAUUGAAUGACGUGCUUUAUUUGCAUUUUUAAGAUUUUUUUCCUACAUAAAACAGUAAUAAAAAUGCAAGUCAAAAUUUUAAUUUUUAAUAAAAAAACCAUAAGCCUUAGAAAACUGAUUAAAAAUACUUUUAUGUUAUCCCUAAUCACCCCGUUAAAUGGAAUGCCUGUGAUUAGCCUCAUUAAGAAUUUUAUACUGUGAAGAUUUUAUUAAAAGCAAUAUAUGAAAAUUACUUGGAUUAAUGUGUUAAUCUGCCUCUUUAAAAUGCUAAUAUCCAUUUUAUGCACAUUAAAUCUCAGUAUGUGUUUUCUUUGAUGCAUGCAGUUCCUAUCAAUUAAAUAUAAAAAAUUAGGCUAGUUGCAGGACUUAUUAAAUUACUGCACCCUUUUUUUAAAUAACUUUUACCCUUCUACUAACAUUAUAAUCAGCUGUUUAUGGUUACCAUAAUUUGAAGUAGGGGGAGGGCAGGCACAAUCAUUUUCUGUACAGGAGAUGAUUUUCUUGCAGCCAACAUCUGUCAAAGCACAAAAAGAAGCCAUAGACGAUCAGAUUUUGCUUCACCUACUUUGGGCUUUAGGGAUGGGCAACUGUUUUCAUUUGAGUUUUGUCACUUUUAGAACUUACAUCAAACAUAUACAAUAAAUUGUUGUAUCUGAAUAACUACUGUCUAGUGUGGAAAGUUAAUUUUACAGCUUUUAACCAAUCUCAGUGAAGGGUUUAAUUGAUAUUUUUAAUGGAGCUGUGAAUCAAUGCUGCAAAAGGAUUGUCUCUUGAGAAUGAGGAUAUAAUACAUUUCAUUUUUUAAUUUACUUUUUUAUUUGUCAUUUUCUUCAAAGGAUUUUAUAGACUGGAUUUCCACUGUUUGCAAACAGGCUAUGUUUCUUCAUAAGCAUAUGUAAAGUAUUCAGAGAGAUAAGUAAUUUAUUAAAAUCUACCUAAUUUGCCGUGAUAUAUUAAAUCUCUGCUUCAGUGAUCACAGACCAUUUCAUUUAGAGAAUUAGGCAUUCCCUCUUUGUGUGAUUAAAGCUCUGGAAAAUGAGUUCUUUGCUCCUAUUUGUGAACAUUCAAAGCCUGCUAAUGGCAAGAAGAUGGAAUAGAUUAUGAGACAAUUCAUUACAGUUCAACAGAAAAAAACCCCUGCUAUAAUGCAGAAAUGCAAGUAUGAAUAUCUGCAUAUAGUUUGAACCAUCUGUGCUCUAAUGCCUUCAGUAAUGGCUCUUCGU